This 342-nucleotide long non-coding RNA is filed under the name Elaeis guineensis (African oil palm). Its description in RNAcentral is "long non-coding RNA (EGUI_LNC033559)". Lineage: Eukaryota; Viridiplantae; Streptophyta; Magnoliopsida; Arecales; Arecaceae. The record is from RNAcentral.
ACCACGCUGCCGAAUUGCUUCUGGGUCCCACAUAAACCUCUCGUUACCCGCCCUCCAACAACGCCACAGCUGCAGUAGUAUAACAUAUUCUUACUCUAUGCCAAACACCCGAUCCUCCCCUUCUUCUCCAUUUGUCUCCGCUCUUCUCCGCCGCCUGUCCCUUCGCUCAAAGGAGGAAAAAUAAAAAAUAAAAAUCAAACGAAAAUCUAACUUGGAUCGCCUUCCCAACCCCCCAAAAUUCCUUUCCAAAACCCUAAUUUUCGAUCGAUUUCGCCCCUAAAUCUUUUCCCCCAUCUUGCUAAUGGCGGAAAUCUGAGGAGGAGGAGUACGAGCAGCAGCGAU